RNAcentral lists this ribosomal RNA (429 nucleotides) under Bacteroidota bacterium. RNAcentral describes it as "Bacteroidetes bacterium partial 16S ribosomal RNA". It matches the Rfam family "Bacterial small subunit ribosomal RNA", at positions 355 to 776 of the family's 1533-position model. Lineage: Bacteria; Pseudomonadati; Bacteroidota. The record is from RNAcentral.
UAGGGAAUCUUCCGUAAUGGACGCAAGUCUGACGGAGCAACGCCGCGUGAGUGAAGAAGGAUUUCGGUUCGUAAAACUCUGUUGUUAGAGAAGAACAGCGCAUAGAGUAACUGUUAUGCGUGUGACGGUAUCUAACCAGAAAGCCACGGCUAACUACGUGCCAGCAGCCGCGGUAAUACGUAGGUGGCAAGCGUUGUCCGGAUUUAUUGGGCGUAAAGCGAGCGCAGGCGGUCAAUUAAGUCUGAUGUGAAAGCCCCCGGCUCAACCGGGGAGGGUCAUUGGAAACUGGUUGACUUGAGUGCAGAAGAGGAGAGUGGAAUUCCAUGUGUAGCGGUGAAAUGCGUAGAUAUAUGGAGGAACACCAGUGGCGAAGGCGACUCUCUGGUCUGUAACUGACGCUGAGGUUCGAAAGCGUGGGUAGCAAACAGG